This 399-nucleotide ribosomal RNA is filed under the name uncultured bacterium. RNAcentral's name for it is "bacterial SSU rRNA". It matches the Rfam family "Bacterial small subunit ribosomal RNA", at positions 357 to 773 of the family's 1533-position model. The record is from RNAcentral.
GGGAAUUUUGCGCAAUGGGCGAAAGCCUGACGCAGCAACGCCGCGUGGGGGAAGAAGGCUCUCGGGUCGUAAACCCCUUUUGCCGGGGAAGAUCGUGACGGUACCCGGCGAAUAAGCCACGGCUAACUACGUGCCAGCAGCCGCGGUAAUACGUAGGUGGCAAGCGUUGUCCGGAUUUAUUGGGCGUAAAGCGCGCGCAGGCGGUCCGUUAAGUCCGAGGUGAAAUCUCCCGGCUCAACUGGGAGGGGUCUUCGGAUACUGGCGGACUUGAGGAGAGCAGAGGUGAGUGGAAUUCUCGGUGUAGUGGUGAAAUGCGUAGAUAUCGAGAGGAACACCAGUGGCGAAGGCGACUCACUGGGCUCAACCUGACGCUGAGGCGCGAAAGCGUGGGGAGCAAAC